RNAcentral lists this ribosomal RNA (848 nucleotides) under Escherichia coli. RNAcentral describes it as "partial 23S ribosomal RNA". It matches the Rfam family "Bacterial large subunit ribosomal RNA", at positions 418 to 1265 of the family's 2925-position model. The record is from RNAcentral. Lineage: Bacteria; Pseudomonadati; Pseudomonadota; Gammaproteobacteria; Enterobacterales; Enterobacteriaceae.
CGGGACACGUGGUAUCCUGUCUGAAUAUGGGGGGACCAUCCUCCAAGGCUAAAUACUCCUGACUGACCGAUAGUGAACCAGUACCGUGAGGGAAAGGCGAAAAGAACCCCGGCGAGGGGAGUGAAAAAGAACCUGAAACCGUGUACGUACAAGCAGUGGGAGCACGCUUAGGCGUGUGACUGCGUACCUUUUGUAUAAUGGGUCAGCGACUUAUAUUCUGUAGCAAGGUUAACCGAAUAGGGGAGCCGAAGGGAAACCGAGUCUUAACUGGGCGUUAAGUUGCAGGGUAUAGACCCGAAACCCGGUGAUCUAGCCAUGGGCAGGUUGAAGGUUGGGUAACACUAACUGGAGGACCGAACCGACUAAUGUUGAAAAAUUAGCGGAUGACUUGUGGCUGGGGGUGAAAGGCCAAUCAAACCGGGAGAUAGCUGGUUCUCCCCGAAAGCUAUUUAGGUAGCGCCUCGUGAAUUCAUCUCCGGGGGUAGAGCACUGUUUCGGCAAGGGGGUCAUCCCGACUUACCAACCCGAUGCAAACUGCGAAUACCGGAGAAUGUUAUCACGGGAGACACACGGCGGGUGCUAACGUCCGUCGUGAAGAGGGAAACAACCCAGACCGCCAGCUAAGGUCCCAAAGUCAUGGUUAAGUGGGAAACGAUGUGGGAAGGCCCAGACAGCCAGGAUGUUGGCUUAGAAGCAGCCAUCAUUUAAAGAAAGCGUAAUAGCUCACUGGUCGAGUCGGCCUGCGCGGAAGAUGUAACGGGGCUAAACCAUGCACCGAAGCUGCGGCAGCGACGCUGAUGCGUUGUUGGGUAGGGGAGCGUUCUGUAAGCCUGUGAAGGUGUGCUGUG